RNAcentral lists this ribosomal RNA (468 nucleotides) under uncultured bacterium. Its description in RNAcentral is "partial 16S ribosomal RNA". It matches the Rfam family "Bacterial small subunit ribosomal RNA", at positions 28 to 507 of the family's 1533-position model. The record is from RNAcentral.
GACGAACGCUGGCGGCGUGCUUAACACAUGCAAGUCGAACGGAAAGGCCCUGCUUUUGUGGGGUGCUAGCGUGGCGAACGGGUGAGUAACACGUGAGUAACCUGCCCUUGAGUUUGGGAUAACUUCAGGCAACUGGGGCUAAUACCGGAUAGGAGCUCCUGCUGCAUGGUGGGGGUUGGAAAGUUUCGGCGGUUUGGGAUGGACUCCCGGCUUACCAGCUUGUUGGGUGAGGAGUGGCAUACCAGGGCUUUGGCGGGUAGCCGGCCUGAGAGGUGGAACGGGGUCAAUGGUACUACGAGACGGCCCAGACGGGUAUGGGAGGCAGCAGGGGGGAGUAUGGCACAGUGGGGGGGAGCCUGAGGCAGAGGCGCCGCGUGUGGGAUGACGGCCUUGGUGUUGUAAACCGCUUUCAGCUGAGACGAAGCUGGAGUGACGGUAAUAGGUAAAGAAGCACCGGCUAACUACGUG